GCCGGGGUGGCGGAAUGGUAGACGCAGCGGACUCAAAAUCCGCCGAGGUUACCCCUCGUGGGGGUUCGAGUCCCCCCUCCGGCA
This 84-nucleotide transfer RNA is filed under the name Aminomonas paucivorans DSM 12260. It matches the Rfam family "tRNA". From Rfam's summary of the family: Transfer RNA (tRNA) molecules are approximately 80 nucleotides in length. Their secondary structure includes four short double-helical elements and three loops (D, anti-codon, and T loops). Further hydrogen bonds mediate the characteristic L-shaped molecular structure. tRNAs have two regions of fundamental functional importance: the anti-codon, which is responsible for specific mRNA codon recognition, and the 3' end, to which the tRNAs corresponding amino acid is attached (by aminoacyl-tRNA synthetases). tRNAs cope with the degeneracy of the genetic code in two manners: having more than one tRNA (with a specific anti-codon) for a particular amino acid; and 'wobble' base-pairing, i.e. permitting non-standard base-pairing at the 3rd anti-codon position. Lineage: Bacteria; Thermotogati; Synergistota; Synergistia; Synergistales; Synergistaceae. The record is from Rfam by way of RNAcentral.